Molecule: transfer RNA, 87 nt
Filed under: Planctomycetota bacterium
Lineage: Bacteria; Pseudomonadati; Planctomycetota
Also listed under: 1 other name
Description: Planctomycetes bacterium tRNA-Leu
Rfam family: tRNA
About the family: Transfer RNA (tRNA) molecules are approximately 80 nucleotides in length. Their secondary structure includes four short double-helical elements and three loops (D, anti-codon, and T loops). Further hydrogen bonds mediate the characteristic L-shaped molecular structure. tRNAs have two regions of fundamental functional importance: the anti-codon, which is responsible for specific mRNA codon recognition, and the 3' end, to which the tRNAs corresponding amino acid is attached (by aminoacyl-tRNA synthetases). tRNAs cope with the degeneracy of the genetic code in two manners: having more than one tRNA (with a specific anti-codon) for a particular amino acid; and 'wobble' base-pairing, i.e. permitting non-standard base-pairing at the 3rd anti-codon position.
Source: RNAcentral
GCCGGGAUGGUGAAAUUGGUAGACACGCCAGACUCAAAAUCUGGUGCCCGCGAGGGCGUGCCGGUUCGACUCCGGCUCCCGGUACCA